AACCAAGUACAUUGACUGCCUGUCACAGUCAUUUUUACAAUAAUAUUUUUGGUUUUUACGGUGGAAAGAUUAUAAUUUGAAAAAAAUGUUUAUAUAUAUUUACGUACUUGUUUAUUGACCUCCUGAACACCUGCUUAAAGCGGAGAAGACCGUUUUGCAUCAUCAUCAUGAGGAAGCGACCGGGAACAUCGCGCUCUCGAAGCCCAUCACCAGCACCAAAAUCAGCGCGACUGUAUACUUGCGGUGAAACAGAAUCAGCUUGCGGAGACAUAUCAGAGCGCAGAUCAAGUGGAAUCCAAGUACUUCUUCGUGCCGGAGUUGCUUCACCAACUAAUGACGAAAGACGCAGUGCAAUCCAACAAUUGGUGCUUGCUGCAGUUAGCGGUUCAGCCCAACUAAUAAGUAUGUUGAGGAGAGCAGUAGGAGCGAUCGCCACUGUUCCUAUGACGGUUGCUUCAGCAGUCGCCAUCGUAUCAAAUACAUGCGCUACUUGUGCAAGUCAUACAGCUACAACUCAUACAGUCAUACAGGAUACACCUCCUACUACAUGUGAAGCUACUGAUACUGCAGAGGCAAUACCUGAAGCUAGGGAGUCAUCAACAACUGAUAUGACAGUUGCUAUAUACAGGACACCGAUGGUCGACUCAGUGCAUGUGGGGACUUCCACGGAGGCAAUUGAAACAGCAUGCAGAGCUGUACCGGAAUGUGCUAGUGUUCCUCUUGUGCAACAAUUCCGAAAUGAAACUUUUGAGAUUUAUGAUUCUUCUAGUUCAACAAGUGGACUUGUAUUAAAUAUAUAAAUAUUUUGCCAAUUUA
This is a long non-coding RNA of Dalotia coriaria, 816 nucleotides long. RefSeq lists it as uncharacterized. Lineage: Eukaryota; Metazoa; Arthropoda; Insecta; Coleoptera; Staphylinidae. The transcript is spliced from 3 exons. The record is from RefSeq and is a predicted model, not a curated record.